CCUACGGGUGGCAGCAGUGAGGAAUAUUGCUCAAUGGGCGCAAGCCUGAACCAGCCAAGUCGCGUGAAGGAUGAAUGCCCUCCGGGUUGUAAACUUCUUUUAUAAAGGAGUAAAGUGAGGCACGUGUGCCUCUUUGUAUGUACUUUAUGAAUAAGGAACGUAUAACUCCGUGCCAGCAGCCGCGGUAAUACGGAGGAUCCGAGCGUUACCCGGAUUUACUGGGUUUAAAGGGAGCGUAGAUGGGUUGUUAAGUCAGUUGUGAAAGUUUGCGGCUCAACCGUAAAAUUGCAAUUGAUACUGGCAGCCUUGAGUACAGGAGAGGUAGGUGGAAUUCGUGGUGUAGCGGUGAAAUGCGUAGAUAUCACGAAGAACUCCGAUGGCGAAGGCAGCUUACUAAACUGUCACUGACAUUGAGGCUCGAAAGUGUGGGUAGCAAACAGGAUUAGAUACCCGUGUAGUC
This 460-nucleotide ribosomal RNA is filed under the name uncultured bacterium. RNAcentral describes it as "partial 16S ribosomal RNA". It matches the Rfam family "Bacterial small subunit ribosomal RNA", at positions 338 to 795 of the family's 1533-position model. The record is from RNAcentral.